UCCACCUUUCUUUCAGCUUUGGCUUCUCGAUUGGUUCUGAACUCCCAGGAAGGUGAAAAAGCAGCGUCAUUACUUAGCACCGGAAGCCCCGGCACUCAACAGGGAUACUGUGCAGUCCUGCAUGUGAGCAGCUCAAGAGUUCUUUUCAAGUGAGACCUGCUGCUAGGAGAGAAGUAAGCUGACAGCACCCAGCAACCACACUGUUGAGAACCCCUGUGGCAUCAUGUUCCUGCUGAGGCCGGCCACUUUCUUGCCAAACUACUUGCAGCCAGUGACUGAGCAUGGGAAAGCGAGACCCUAGAGCCCAGCUAUUCCUGCCCAGUGCAGGACUCCUCCAGACUUCCAGACUGCACUGCAGACUGAGGCACUUCCUAGCUGAGCCUCCUUCUUUUCUUCUCUCCUUUCAGCUGCUCCUGCUCCAUUGCCCAUUUCUCUCACCUUUAUCCUGCACUUCUGCUUCCAUCUUGGCAUCUUCUUCCCUCAAGACCCAACCUGACACCAUCAGUAUUAUUACACUCUUCAUUUCCCAGUGGAGGAGGUGGGGAUCCAGGCAAGAAAGACAAAGCGUAAAUAUGCUCCCUUUAAAAUUUUGUACUGCUCUAUCGCUUCUGGGUCUUUGGGCUAAGAUCAAGUGUAAAAGUUUGUACUACUCUUAGGUUUGAGGUUCACAUGAAAAGAACAUCUCAUCAACAUUUCAAAAGAAAAUUUGAAUGAAUUGUAUGUUGUACUAGUGUGUAAAAGAGAGACCGUGUCAUUU
This 757-nucleotide long non-coding RNA is filed under the name Homo sapiens (human). RNAcentral's name for it is "LHRI_LNC627.1". Lineage: Eukaryota; Metazoa; Chordata; Mammalia; Primates; Hominidae. The record is from RNAcentral.